UACGUAGGGUGCGAGCGUUGUCCGGAAUUAUUGGGCGUAAAGGGCUCGUAGGCGGUUUGUCACGUCGGGAGUGAAAACUCAGGGCUUAACCCUGAGCCUGCUUCCGAUACGGGCAGACUAGAGGUAUGCAGGGGAGAACGGAAUUCCUGGUGUAGCGGUGAAAUGCGCAGAUAUCAGGAGGAACACCGAUGGCGAAGGCAGGUCUCUGGGCCACUACUGACGCUGAGAAGCGAAAGCAUGGGGAGCGAACAGG
Molecule: ribosomal RNA, 253 nt
Filed under: uncultured bacterium
Lineage: Bacteria
Description: partial 16S ribosomal RNA
Rfam family: Bacterial small subunit ribosomal RNA
Source: RNAcentral